CUCUGCUGGAGAAGACAAAUGGAGUCAGAAGUUCAGCCAGGCAGAUCACAGAGGCAAAGAAGGAUGCGUAUGAAUUUGAAUACACGUCUGAUCCUGCCACACGUGAGAUGGUCUCUGAAAUGAAGCAAAAAGUAUUUGUUCAGAAAGCUGCUUUACCCAGG
Zootoca vivipara (common lizard) is the source of this 161-nucleotide non-coding RNA. Lineage: Eukaryota; Metazoa; Chordata; Lepidosauria; Squamata; Lacertidae. The record is from RefSeq and is a predicted model, not a curated record.